RNAcentral lists this ribosomal RNA (433 nucleotides) under uncultured bacterium. RNAcentral's name for it is "partial 16S ribosomal RNA". It matches the Rfam family "Bacterial small subunit ribosomal RNA", at positions 29 to 507 of the family's 1533-position model. The record is from RNAcentral.
AGCGAACGCUGGCGGCAGGCUUAGCACAUGCAAGUCGAGCGGGCCCCUCGGGGUCAGCGGCGGACGGGUGAGUAACGCGUGGGAACGUGCCUUCUGGUUCGGAAUAACUCAGGGAAACUUGAGCUAAUACCGGAUACGCCCUUUUGGGGAAAGGUUUACUGCCGGAAGAUCGGCCCGCGUCUGAUUAGCUAGUUGGUGGGGUAACGGCCUACCAAGGCGACGAUCAGUAGCUGGUCUGAGAGGAUGAUCAGCCACACUGGGACUGAGACACGGCCCAGACUCCUACGGGAGGCAGCAGUGGGGAAUAUUGGACAAUGGGCGCAAGCCUGAUCCAGCCAUGCCGCGUGAGUGAUGAAGGCCUUAGGGUUGUAAAGCUCUUUUAUCCGGGACGAUAAUGGCGGUACCGGAGGAAUAAGCCCCGGCUAACUUCGUG